This 492-nucleotide ribosomal RNA is filed under the name uncultured bacterium. RNAcentral describes it as "partial 16S ribosomal RNA". It matches the Rfam family "Bacterial small subunit ribosomal RNA", at positions 29 to 507 of the family's 1533-position model. The record is from RNAcentral.
AGUGAACGCUGGCGGUAGGCCUAACACAUGCAAGUCGAACGGCAGCACAGUAAGAGCUUGCUCUUACGGGUGGCGAGUGGCGGACGGGUGAGGAAUACAUCGGAAUCUACUUUUUCGUGGGGGAUAACGUAGGGAAACUUACGCUAAUACCGCAUACGACCUACGGGUGAAAGCAGGGGAUCUUCGGACCUUGCGCGAUUGAAUGAGCCGAUGUCGGAUUAGCUAGUUGGCGGGGUAAAGGCCCACCAAGGCGACGAUCCGUAGCUGGUCUGAGAGGAUGAUCAGCGACACUGGAACUGAGACACGGUCCAGACUCCUACGGGAGGCAGCAGUGGGGAAUAUUGGACAAUGGGCGCAAGCCUGAUCCAGCGAUACCGCGUGGGUGAAGAAGGCCUUCGGGUUGUAAAGCCCUUUUGUUGGGAAAGAAAAGCAGCAGGUUAAUACCCCGCUGUUCUGACGGUACCCAAAGAAUAAGCACCGGCUAACUUCGUG